GAUGAACGCUAGCGGGAGGCCUAACACAUGCAAGCCGAGCGGUAGAGAUUCUUCGGAAUCUUGAGAGCGGCGUACGGGUGCGGAACACGUGUGCAACCUGCCUUUAUCAAGGGGAUAGCCUUUCGAAAGGAAGAUUAAUACCCUAUAAUAUAUGAUUCGGCAUCGGAUUAUAUUGAAAACUACGGUGGAUAAAGAUGGGCACGCGCAAGAUUAGCUAGUUGGUGAGGUAACGGCUCACCAAGGCGACGAUCUUUAGGGGGCCUGAGAGGGUGAUCCCCCACACUGGUACUGAGACACGGACCAGACUCCUACGGGAGGCAGCAGUGAGGAAUAUUGGACAAUGGGUGCAAGCCUGAUCCAGCCAUCCCGCGUGUAGGAAGACGGCCCUAUGGGUUGUAAACUACUUUUAGCUGGGGAUAAACCUACUUACGUGUAAGUAGCUGAAGGUACCAGAUGAAUAAGCACCGGCUAACUCCGUG
RNAcentral lists this ribosomal RNA (479 nucleotides) under uncultured bacterium. RNAcentral describes it as "partial 16S ribosomal RNA". It matches the Rfam family "Bacterial small subunit ribosomal RNA", at positions 28 to 507 of the family's 1533-position model. The record is from RNAcentral.